Molecule: RNA transcript, 1886 nt
Organism: Capsicum annuum
Lineage: Eukaryota; Viridiplantae; Streptophyta; Magnoliopsida; Solanales; Solanaceae
Gene name: TLC domain-containing protein At5g14285
Exons: 1
Source: RefSeq, a predicted model, not a curated record
ACAUAAAUUGAGACUAUAGCCUUCGAUAUCUAGUACAGAUAAACAUCGAUUUCUUGCUAGAUUCUCUCCGGGAAAAAUGAGUUGAGAAUGUUUCUCAAGUUUUCAAUUAAUUAAAAGUGAUAAGCGAAUUUCAUAAUAUUAUUAAGUUAAAAAAUUAAAACCACUCAAACAAUUAAAGACAAUUGUUCGACAAUUACAUUAGUUGUCCCUAUAACUAUCAAAGUUAUUCAAUAACUUCACACGAUUAUUGAAUAACUUUACACAUUUACCGAACAACUUUGAUAAUUAUUGAGAUAACUUAUGUAGUUGUUAAUACAAAUUUUAUAGUCAAAAAUAUUAAAAUAAAACAUAAAAAAUAAUUCUUUUUUUUUCUAAUUUUUAAAAUUUAAAAGACCUCACUUAAUAAACAACUUAUUUUUCACUUUUAAUCGCAAAACCCAUUCCCCAAAAAGGAAAACAAAAACUAGUUACAGUAAUAAAAAGCAGGUUUUUGCAGCUUUUCAUUUGACACACAUCUUGAUAGAAAAUUCUUUCCUACCCUAUUCUUUAUCUGCAAAAAAAUCAAUCUUUUCUUGAUACCCUAAUGGAAACUUUGAAAAUCUUGGAACCAAACCUUGUUGGAUUCAGUCUUUUAUUCUCUGUGAUAUAUUUCUUUGGAUAUUUUAUCAUCUUCAAAGAUUGGAAAGAAAAAGUGAGGUCUGAUGCUUCAAGUUGUAUCAUGUCUUUAGUACAUGGUACCCCUGCAGUUAUUUUAUCCAUAUACUCGAUGUUACAGAAUUCACAAACCUCAUUCCAAAAUCUUGUUUUUUCCACCAAAAAUGCAUCAUUCCAAGAAAUGAUACUUGAAUACAGCAUUGCUUACUUCUUAGCUGACCUUUUGUAUUACUUUGUCUUUUAUCCAAUUUUAUGUUCUAUUCAUUGCUCAUUAGUGUCUUUAUUACAUGGUACCCAUGCAGUUAUUUUAUCCAUACACAAACCUCAUUCCAAAAUCUUGUUUUUUCCACCAAAAAUGCAUCAUUCCAAGAAAUGAUACUUGAAUACAGCAUUGCUUACUUCUUAGCUGACCUUUUGCAUUACUUUGUGUUUUAUCCAACUGAUGUUCUAUUCAUUGCUCAUCAUUUGGCUACCCUUUAUGCCUUCUUAACUUAUCGGUUUGUCGUUCAUCAUGGUGCAGCCACCCUUAUUGGCCUUGUUCCAGCAGAGAUCACAAGUCCUUUCCAGAACACAUUGGACUCUUGCCAGGUACAGAAAAGUCAGAUACGCCUAUGGCUGCUAAGUUGUAUGAAAAAUUAUCUCCAGCAUUUUAUAUGUUGUAUAGUUUGGUUAGGGGAAUUCUUGGACCCUUGUUUGUUUACAAGAUGGGGUUGGCUUUGCAAGUGGAAAAGCAGAUGGUGUGAUUUCUAGGCCUAUGUGGACUUCUUGAAUGGUUGUGAUUGUAAGUGCAAUCUUGGUUAGUAUAUUGUGGGUUAUGAAUCGUUGGGUAGAAUUGUUUAGCCAAAGACAGAGGAAGCACUUGAAGAAAUGUAAUUGAUACACACAUUGGAUGAUUGGCUUAAAGAAUUUGAAUGUUGAACUAGUCUGCAGCUAGCUAUAAUGGGGGCUAAACUUACAUUUUGUACACUUGUACACUUGUGUAAAUUAUGUUGUUCGCACAAAUGAUUUUUUUUUUCUGUCGCCAUUUAAUUUCUUAUUUAGAUACAUAUAAGUGGACUGUUCAAAUUUGAUGCCAAAUUAAAGGGCAUAUUUAUGUAUUAUGCCUUGCAUGGAAGUACUAACAAACACUCCCUAAAAACUGAAAAUAACUUCCCUGGCAAACUCAAGUCUUAGAACACUAACGAAACACUCGACUUAAAAGUGAACCAUCCUCUCCAGCAUCUCAUGGUUGA